RNAcentral lists this ribosomal RNA (201 nucleotides) under uncultured bacterium. RNAcentral's name for it is "partial 16S ribosomal RNA". It matches the Rfam family "Bacterial small subunit ribosomal RNA", at positions 337 to 528 of the family's 1533-position model. The record is from RNAcentral.
UCAGUACGGGAGGCAGCAGUGGGGAAUUUUGGACAAUGGGGCGCAAGCCUGAUCCAGCCAUGCCGCGUGUCUGAAGAAGGCCUUCGGGUUGUAAAGGACUUUUGUCAGGGAAGAAAAGGCUGUCGCUAAUACCGACAGCUGAUGACGGUACCUGAAGAAUAAGCACCGGCUAACUACGUGCCAGCAGCCGCGGUAAUCUGA